AAGUCGUAACAAGGUCUCCGUUGGUGAACCAGCGGAGGGAUCAUUACCGAGUUUACAACUCCCAAACCCAUGUGAACAUACCUAUCGUUGCCUCGGCGGGAAAGCCCCGGGCGCUGGCGCAAGCCUUCGCACCGGUACCAGGCGCCCGCCGCAGGACCCAAAACAAACCCUUGAAUUCUAAAGCAUCUUCUGAGUGGUAUAAGCAAAUAAAUUAAAACUUUCAACAACGGAUCUCUUGGCUCUG
This 244-nucleotide unclassified non-coding RNA is filed under the name uncultured Ascomycota. RNAcentral describes it as "sequence contains ITS1". The stretch from base 1 to 46 matches the Rfam family "Eukaryotic small subunit ribosomal RNA", at positions 1786 to 1831 of the family's 1831-position model. Lineage: Eukaryota; Fungi; Ascomycota. The record is from RNAcentral.